RNAcentral lists this small RNA (635 nucleotides) under Pan troglodytes (chimpanzee). RNAcentral's name for it is "processed transcript". The record is from RNAcentral. Lineage: Eukaryota; Metazoa; Chordata; Mammalia; Primates; Hominidae.
GUCAGUACAAAAGCAUUCCCUACUAGAAAAAUAGCUAUGUCCACAGCCUUCUGGUGAGGGGUUGGUUGCCUGGCUUCAGUCUAUUUCAAAAGUCAGUGCAUAUAAAUUGAAUAUUAAGUCAUAUGGUGUAUAUGGCACUUAAACAUCACUUCCUAACAGAAUUAUUUGGUCUUGUGAUUGGAGUCCUGACAGCAAGUAUUUCUUCACUGGGAGUCGAGACAAAAAGGUGGUUGUCUGGGGUGAGUGCGACUCCACUGAUGACUGUAUUGAGCACAACAUUGGCCCCUGCUCCUCAGUCCUGGACGUGGGUGGGGCUGUGACAGCUGUCAGCGUCUGCCCAGUGCUCCACCCUUCUCAACGAUAUGUGGUUGCAGUAGGAUUGGAAUGUGGAAAGAUUUGCUUAUAUACCUGGAAAAAGACUGAUCAAGUUCCAGAAAUAAAUGACUGGACCCACUGUGUAGAAACAAGUCAAAGCCAAAGUCAUACACUGGCUAUCAGAAAAUUAUGCUGGAAGAAUUGCAGUGGAAAAACUGAACAGAAGGAAGCAGAAGGUGCUGAGUGGUUACACUUUGCAAGCUGUGGUGAAGAUCACACUGUGAAGAUACACAGAGUCAAUAAAUGUGCACUGUAAUGGA